CCGACAAAAAAAAACGCGUUGGCUACCGCGCGUCUUCCCCGCGACCCCCGCCUCCUGUCCUACCGCCGUCGCCGAUGCCCGUGACCUAGCCCGCGUGUCUCCCCCACGACCCCCGCCUCCUCUCCCGCUGCUGCCACCGCCGGCGCCGGCGCCGGAGAAGCUCGCCUCCGCGCCCACAAGCCUCGGAUCCGGCAGGAUCCGGGACGAGGAUGGGUGGAUGAGACGGGGGAGGAGGAGGAGAGUGUGGGGGUGUCUGGGGAGGAGCGAGGGGUGAGAAGAUGAGAGGGAGAGAGAGAAGAGGUGGUGUAGCAGGGCCGGACCGCCGUCCUCUUCCACUCCAUCAACAGGCUUUCUCAACAGCAGGCUGCACCACCGCUCGAAAGCCACCGGUCUUCUUCCACUCCAUCAAUAGUUACAAUUUCAGCGGCAGGGAGUGGUUGCCAUAUUGGAAACGAAGCAAGAACUGGAUGGAGCUCAGGAUUUUGCUACUACCUUGCUAAUAGCUUUGUGAGGCAUGUCACCGAUGGCAAGUGCAAGAAGAAAGCACCAAGGAAAAUCCACAAAUCCAAGAGGCAGAAGCAUAAGCGCGUCCUGCUCAAUGAUCUCUUGGGUGAACUUAUCAAAAUGCUACGUGAGUUAAAUAGGUGUGCAUCAAUCACUAGCCCCCUCGACACCUUAUAGAUUACGUCACAGCUAGCGUUGCUUCAGUGAAGCUGUCUCUUAAUUUGGGGGGUCGUUUCCUUUUCCAUGUGGUUAUUUGGAAUGUCAGAGUUGAGCGUGGGUAUGUAUGAAUCUGGGUCAUGUUGUUACAAUCCAUGUCCAAUUGUCCAAGUCAUGCUUUUGGGGUGAAUACUGGGGUUCGGUAUGUGUCAUGGAUUUCUUUAGUAGAUCCCAAUGAAUGUUUAUGCCGCUGAAAACGUGGAUGACCUCAUUGAAAAUUAGUAACACCAGAAGACCUCUCGAUGUUUGUUGACAAUUCAUUACAUUGUGCAUAAUUGUCAGCAUAUAAAACUGUGUAGUACCUGCAUCCAUUAAUUCCAAUCUUUUUCUAAUCCAUCUGUCUCAGGCUCUCAGCCAUGCAUCUUGCAUCAAACUGUAUGUGCCUUGGAGUAUAUUGCUUCUUAUAUUGCACCCAUUAUUAGUGAAGAAAUUGCGAAAUGCUUACUAUGCAUGGUGAUUAUUUAAUCAGAGUAACAUCUGACAUGAAAAGGCACUUCAAAUCAGGGCUAAUUUUCACGCCUGAAUACCUUUUACUUAGAACAAAGUACUGGUACAUCUUCUCUAUUUUUAAAUGUAGCCAUCCCACUCUCCCUGGAAGCCCCGCCCCCUGCUACAUUUUCAUGGUCACCGCCCCCAGGAACGGCUACAAGAUGAAGCGACGCACAAGGUUUCUUCUCGCCUUCUUCUGGUUUUUCUCUUUGAUAUCCAUUUGUUGCCUUGGGUAUUUCUUGAUUCCUUCUCUUGUGUGUGUGUGUGUGUGCGCGCGCGCCGGGUGGGAGCAUCUACUGCACUAAUAGAAUGCCAAGCAUAGGAAGAGGCUCCCCAAGAUGAUAUAUGCUUCUUCAGUUUACGCACAUUUUUUAGAACUUUUUUCACCCAAUGAUAAUUCAUUACUGCUUGAACUCUCCAUGGUCAGACAAUUUGGUUGGUGUCAUGUUCUGAAUGCAUGGUGAUAUUGAGCACGUACAAGGCUUUCCGAUUCAACCGCAAUUUCCAGGGUAGUUGUUCUAGCAGGAUAUUGUAUUUGUUACGGAAAACACGGAUGAGUAAUUACAUGAUAUAUUAUUAAUAUUAAACUGUGUUGUUUCUCUGAAACUAACUUGGUAUUUCAGCUAUGGAAACUGAUGUUCUAACCUUAGUUCCAUAGAUGAAUCUUUGUUGUCUUUUUCAGAAAGGGAAUGUCUGGUAUAUCUUUCUUUGUGGAUUUAUUCAAUGAGUUUUCUACAUUGGGCUGCAUUGUUAAGAAAGAGUUUGAUGAUGCCACAAGAGCAAGAAUUAAAAGUCGUUUGUAGAACCAUGUUUCCUCAUGGCAGGAGGCGAGCAAUACUUUACUAUUACAAUGUUCAUUUUCAAUACAAUCAGAAGUAUGACACUGAUUGUCAAUUGUGCGUUCAUGCAGGUUGCGCGUUCAUGCAAUACUUUACCCAUGAAAUAGAAGAGUUGUGCAGACGUGUGAUUCAAGUUCUUCGACGGAAUGGGCCCAACUCAUUCAGUGAAGAAAUUUCAAGGUUCUCUUUCGGAACUGGUUUGAGCUUCUAUAAGUUCAGUUUGAAGAACAGUAUCACAGAAUAAGGAAUCAUGAAAAUAAUGAGGUAACAGCAGAGGGUGAGUGUUGCAAAAAAGAUUGAUGACUGGAGCUAAAAACAGGCAAGAGAAUGUACAGAAAAGCCUUACUUUAGAUUUAGCCAGUAGAGCACGUGCCCUUCGCAUAGGGAUAAUAACUUUUAGUAAAACAGCAGCACCGGUUUGAUUCAGGGUAUACAAUAUCUUACAAACAGUCAAGGAUUCACCAACUCACCAGUCAAGCAUUAGAUAGAUAACAAAAAGGUAGGAAUAACAUGUGUGCAGAAGUACAUUCCUACUCAUCAUGAGGAUCGGUGUCAAGAAGGAACUAGGGAUACCCAUAGCAUUUCCCCACUGUUUAAUUAAUCUUAGUGGAACUGGGUGGUCAUGUAAAUUAGUUUCACUUGGGGUGCAUCCAUCAGCCUCCUUAACCACAUAAUAGACAGUGGAGCUGAAACUUCCCCUCUUUUUUUAAGAAUGCCUAGUCGGGUUCUUCUCCUACCAGUAUCGAAUAGAACUCGAAAUCGAAUUUCAUUGCGGGAAAUUAGGAUUUCAUGAGGGAGGGAAAGGGGGUGGAGAGUCGUACAACGCAUUGGUGGGAUGAAGAUCAGAGAAGCGAAUGCCUCUCAUAAUUGAUUGAAAAGUGCUCUGCUGCUUCAAAUAUCAUGACAAUUCAAAUACAAACUGCAGGCCUGUACUUACGGUCAGAGAUGAUGGCUGAACAUUCCUUAUUUCCAAUAACAAUACUUUCCGCUUGAAGGAAGUUUCUUAUUGGAUUACAUAAUGCUUCCAGAUCAUCUUCGUUCUGGUCAUAGCUAUUCUGAGUUGUCAUAGUCUUCAAUGUUAGGCAUCUAGGUGCCCUAAGCAGCUUGUCAUUGACUGAUUGAUUUAGAAAACACAUAGAUUCCUGUUUCGCCUGUAGAUAAAGUAUGGUUAAAUAGUUAUGGAAUUCCUCAGGAACUGUGUCCUGAAGUUUCCCACUUUCGAAGAAACUGGAAACCCAUAAUAGUUUCUAUGGUUAUCUAUGAUCUCUUCUAGGUGCUUGGCAAACUCAUACUCCCUGUGUGAGGUAAUAUAUAAGAUCUUUUAGAUCAUUAAAGUAGUGAUCUAAAAAGUCUUAUAUUAUUUUACAGAUGGAGUCUUCUUUACCACUUAUAAGCAACAUACUCACUGAAUCUACUCACGCUCAUUCUGGAGUGAUGAAGAAUUGAGAUGAUAAUGGAAAUAAGAUCCAUGACAUGUUGUUCCUAAGAUGUGCGACUGAUUGCAAUGGAACAAUAUGCGGAUGCACAAGUUCUUACCAAAACAGAGGUAGCACGGUCUAGAAUAUGGGACACCAAACUGCAAGGGACUUAGGAAGAAUUAUUGUGUGUUGAAACUGAGAGUUGAAAGGGAAGCUAGCAACUGGUCAUGUAUAUCAGACACCUAUCACAAGCAAUUGAUACUGAUAGAGUCCAAAUACUACAGUCAAUUGUGAUUCGAAUAAUUCUAAGCUUAAAAGAACCUCGAAUCCAACAACAUUUUCCGCGCACCAUCUACUCGAUGGUAUGCCCAUAUGGAUUGUUUGAUCUCUUC
Molecule: RNA transcript, 3858 nt
Organism: Triticum dicoccoides
Lineage: Eukaryota; Viridiplantae; Streptophyta; Magnoliopsida; Poales; Poaceae
Exons: 3
Source: RefSeq, a predicted model, not a curated record